UACAGAGGUCCCAAGCGUUGUUCGGAUUCACUGGGCGUAAAGGGUGCGUAGGUGGUGAGGUAAGUCGGAUGUGAAAGCUCCGAGCUCAACUCGGAAAUGGCAUUGGAAACUACCUUGCUAGAGGGUUUGAGGGGGGACUGGAAUACUUGGUGUAGCAGUGAAAUGCGUAGAUAUCAAGUGGAACACCAGUGGCGAAAGCGAGUCCCUG
This 208-nucleotide ribosomal RNA is filed under the name uncultured bacterium. Its description in RNAcentral is "partial 16S ribosomal RNA". It matches the Rfam family "Bacterial small subunit ribosomal RNA", at positions 524 to 731 of the family's 1533-position model. The record is from RNAcentral.